RNAcentral lists this ribosomal RNA (519 nucleotides) under uncultured Chloroflexota bacterium. RNAcentral describes it as "bacterial SSU rRNA". It matches the Rfam family "Bacterial small subunit ribosomal RNA", at positions 355 to 891 of the family's 1533-position model. The record is from RNAcentral. Lineage: Bacteria; Bacillati; Chloroflexota.
UAGGGAAUAUUGCACAAUGGGCGCAAGCCUGAUGCAGCAACGCCGCGUGCGCGAUGAAGGCCUUCGGGUCGUAAAGCGCUUUUCUGGAGGACGAGGAAGGACGGUACUCCAGGAAUAAGGCUCGGCUAACUACGUGCCAGCAGCCGCGGUAAAACGUAGGAGCCAAGCGUUAUCCGAAUUUACUGGGCGUAAAGCGCGUGUAGGCGGUUAGGUAAGUUGGCUGUGAAAUCUCCUGGCUCAACUGGGAGAGGCCGGUCAAGACUGCCUGGCUGGAGGAUGGUAGAGGGAGGUGGAAUUCCGGGUGUAGUGGUGAAAUGCGUAGAUAUCCGGAGGAACACCAGUGGCGAAAGCGGCCUCCUGGGCCAUUCCUGACGCUCAGACGCGAAAGCUAGGGGAGUGAACGGGAUUAGAAACCCGGUAAUCCUAGCCGUAAACGAUGUGGACUUGGCGUCGGUGGGGUAAAGCCAGCGGUGCCGGAGCUAACGCGGUAAGUCCACCGCCUGGGGACUACGGCCGACG